UAACGCGUGGGGAACCGUGCCCUAUACAGGGGAGUAACAGCUGGAAACGGUUGCUAAUACCGCAUAAGCGCACAGAAUCGCAUGAUUCAGUGUGAAAAGCCCUGGCAGUAUAGGAUGGUCCCGCGUCUGAUUAGCUGGUUGGUGAGGUAACGGCUCACCAAGGCGACGAUCAGUAGCCGGCUUGAGAGAGUGAACGGCCACAUUGGGACUGAGACACGGCCCAA
This 224-nucleotide ribosomal RNA is filed under the name uncultured bacterium. Its description in RNAcentral is "partial 16S ribosomal RNA". It matches the Rfam family "Bacterial small subunit ribosomal RNA", at positions 111 to 334 of the family's 1533-position model. The record is from RNAcentral.